Molecule: non-coding RNA, 23 nt
Filed under: Arabidopsis thaliana (thale cress)
Lineage: Eukaryota; Viridiplantae; Streptophyta; Magnoliopsida; Brassicales; Brassicaceae
Source: RNAcentral
CACUAUCACUGAUCUAACUAACC